Molecule: small nucleolar RNA, 140 nt
Organism: Astyanax mexicanus (Mexican tetra)
Lineage: Eukaryota; Metazoa; Chordata; Actinopteri; Characiformes; Acestrorhamphidae
Source: Ensembl
AGUGCACACUGUUAAAGCCUGGCACCACUGUUGGUGUUUGGGUGUCGGAAGUGUGCAAGAGUGAUCAGGCCGGGUUUUCGCUAACACCAUGAGGGCCUCCGCCCCAUGACUGGGGUUUGAUAGUGACCUGAGCCACAUGG